GGAUGAGCCCGCGGCCUAUCAGCUUGUUGGUGAGGUAACGGCUCACCAAGGCGACGACGGGUAGCCGGCCUGAGAGGGCGACCGGCCACACUGGGACUGAGACACGGCCCAGACUCCUACGGGAGGCAGCAGUGGGGAAUAUUGCACAAUGGGCGAAAGCCUGAUGCAGCGACGCCGCGUGAGGGAUGACGGCCUUCGGGUUGUAAACCUCUUUCAGCAGGGAAGAAGCGAAAGUGACGGUACCUGCAGAAGAAGCGCCGGCUAACUACGUGCCAGCAGCCGCGGUAAUACGUAGGGCGCGAGCGUUGUCCGGAAUUAUUGGGCGUAAAGAGCUCGUAGGCGGUCUGUCGCGUCGGAUGUGAAAGCCCGGGGCUUAACCCCGGGUCUGCAUUCGAUACGGGCAGACUAGAGUGUGGUAGGGGAGAUCGGAAUUCCUGGUGUAGCGGUGAAAUGCGCAGAUAUCAGGAGGAACACCGGUGGCGAAGGCGGAUCUCUGGGCCAUUACUGACGCUGAGGAGCGAAAGCGUGGGGAGCGAACAGGAUUAGAUACCCUGGUAGUCCACGCCGUAAACGGUGGGAACUAGGUGUUGGCGACAUUCCACGUCGUCGGUGCCGCAGCUAACGCAUUAA
This 630-nucleotide ribosomal RNA is filed under the name Streptomyces sp. enrichment culture clone 3PS17. RNAcentral describes it as "bacterial SSU rRNA". It matches the Rfam family "Bacterial small subunit ribosomal RNA", at positions 223 to 863 of the family's 1533-position model. Lineage: Bacteria; Bacillati; Actinomycetota; Actinomycetes; Kitasatosporales; Streptomycetaceae. The record is from RNAcentral.